RNAcentral lists this ribosomal RNA (497 nucleotides) under uncultured bacterium. Its description in RNAcentral is "partial 16S ribosomal RNA". It matches the Rfam family "Bacterial small subunit ribosomal RNA", at positions 28 to 507 of the family's 1533-position model. The record is from RNAcentral.
GACGAACGCUGGCGGCGUGCCUAAUACAUGCAAGUAGAACGCUGAAGAGAGGAGCUUGCUCUUCUUGGAUGAGUUGCGAACGGGUGAGUAACGCGUAGGUAACCUGCCUUGUAGCGGGGGAUAACUAUUGGAAACGAUAGCUAAUACCGCAUAACAAUGGAUGACACAUGUCAUUUAUUUGAAAGGGGCAAUUGCUCCACUACAAGAUGGACCUGCGUUGUAUUAGCUAGUAGGUGAGGUAAUGGCUCACCUAGGCGACGAUACAUAGCCGACCUGAGAGGGGGAUCGGCCACCCUGGGACUGGGACACGGCCCAGACUCCUACGGGAGGCAGCAGUAGGGAAACUUCGGCAAUGGGGGCAACCCUGACCGAGCAACGCCGCGUGAGUGAAGAAGGUUUUCGGAUCGUAAAGCUCUGUUGUAAGUCAAGAACGGGUGUGAGAGUGGAAAGUUCACACUGUGACGGUAGCUUACCAGAAAGGGACGGCUAACUACGUG